RNAcentral lists this ribosomal RNA (368 nucleotides) under uncultured organism. RNAcentral describes it as "bacterial SSU rRNA". It matches the Rfam family "Bacterial small subunit ribosomal RNA", at positions 526 to 896 of the family's 1533-position model. The record is from RNAcentral.
CGGAGGAUCCAAGCGUUAUCCGGAUUUAUUGGGUUUAAAGGGUGCGUAGGCGGCUUAUUAAGUCAGGGGUGAAAGACGGUGGCUCAACCAUCGCAGUGCCCUUGAUACUGAUGAGCUUGAAUGAACUAGAGGUAGGCGGAAUGUGACAAGUAGCGGUGAAAUGCAUAGAUAUGUCACAGGACACCGAUUGCGAAGGCAGCUUACUAUGGUUUUAUUGACGCUGAGGCACGAAAGCGUGGGGAUCAAACAGGAUUAGAUACCCUGGUAGUCCACGCCCUAAACGAUGAAUACUCGCUGUUAGCGAUAUACAGUUAGCGGCUAAGCGAAAGCGUUAAGUAUUCCACCUGGGGAGUACGCCCGCAAGGGUG